Molecule: ribosomal RNA, 429 nt
Filed under: Bacteroidota bacterium
Lineage: Bacteria; Pseudomonadati; Bacteroidota
Description: Bacteroidetes bacterium partial 16S ribosomal RNA
Rfam family: Bacterial small subunit ribosomal RNA
Source: RNAcentral
UAGGGAAUCUUCCGCAAUGGGCGAAAGCCUGACGGAGCAACGCCGCGUGAGUGAUGAAGGUCUUCGGAUCGUAAAACUCUGUUAUUAGGGAAGAACAAAUGUGUAAGUAACUAUGCACAUCUUGACGGUACCUAAUCAGAAAGCCACGGCUAACUACGUGCCAGCAGCCGCGGUAAUACGUAGGUGGCAAGCGUUCUCCGGAAUUAUUUGGCGUAAAGCGCGCGUAGGCGGUUUUUUAAGUCUGAUGUGAAAGCCCACGGCUCAACCGUGGAGGGUCAUUGGAAACUGGAAAACUUGAGUGCAGAAGAGGAAAGUGGAAUUCCAUGUGUAGCGGUGAAAUGCGCAGAGAUAUGGAGGAACACCAGUGGCGAAGGAGACUUUCUGGUCUGUAACUGACGCAGAUGUGCGAAAGCGUGGGGAUCAAACAGG